UACGUAGGGUGUAAGCGUUGUCCGGAAUUAUUGGGCGUAAAGAGCUCGUAGGCGGUUUGUCGCGUCUGCUGUGAAAACUCGGGGCUUAACUCCGGGCCUGCAGUGGGUACGGGCAGACUAGAGUGCGGUAGGGGAGACUGGAAUUCCUGGUGUAGCGGUGAAAUGCGCAGAUAUCAGGAGGAACACCGGUGGCGAAGGCGGGUCUCUGGGCCGUAACUGACGCUGAGGAGCGAAAGCGUGGGGAGCGAACAGG
Molecule: ribosomal RNA, 253 nt
Filed under: uncultured bacterium
Lineage: Bacteria
Description: partial 16S ribosomal RNA
Rfam family: Bacterial small subunit ribosomal RNA
Source: RNAcentral